CCAAUCAGAACCACUGAUACAAACUAAUUGCAUUAGAAUUACAAAUGGCUGGCGUAGAUUUAGCAAAACCCAAAGGAAGAAAAAGACAAAUCGAGCCAAGAGAAGAUUUCCGUGACGAACUUAAUGACAGAAAAAGGUCGAAAUGUGAUUGCUAUGAAAGAUGUUUUAAUAUCAAAUCUGUCAAAGCUUGGGCCAAUUUGAUACUGGAAUGUGAAUGUUCAUGCAACAUUGAAUGCAUGUCGAAAUGCAGCAAGGAAUGUAUGUUGAAAUGCAACGAGGAAUGCAAGGGGAACAAGCAAUGGAUAGGAGGUCAAAAUAAAAUAGUACUUACACACAAUAAUCAUAUUGUCGGAAACAGGGAUAUAACAAUGAUGGAGCAGUCUGAACAUAAGAAUUCCAUCAUGCUGAGAAAUCUUACAGAAGCUGAUUGGAACUCAACUUUUACCUGCAGUUUUGGUACACUUUUUAAGUCAAUCAGCUUAGAUGGAUAUAAUGAGCAGUCUGCUCAAGCUUCACAUACAAUCAAUACUGCUACCGAAUCAGGUGCACCAAAUGACACUACUUUUACCGCAUCAGAUGCACCAAAUGUCACUACUGCCAUCCCAUUUGGUCCAGAUAUAGCUGUGCCGAUUGCUGGAUGUGUUAUAGGAAUUGCACUAGUUACAUAUGCAGGAUAUAAUGUCCUAAAAUGGAUACUCAAAAGGAGAAGGCAACAAAGGGAGUAGAAGACAGAAGAAGAAAAAGACGAUUUGCUAUAGUGUGAUAAUUGGUCUUCAGUUCAGAUAAAGAUCAAUAUAAUUGAUGCUGACAAAUUGAUUUUGGUCAUGGAUGAACAGAAAUCACAUACGCAUCAACAUUUUUUAUAGAGUUCUUGUUUGUUUUUUCAAUUUAUAGUUUGAAAUAUUUAAAUAUAUUAUGUUGUUCUUUAUUUUUGAUUAUAUAUAUAUAAUAAGUUUUGUAAAGGAAGUUUUUUAUAAUAAUAAUGUAACUUUAACGAAAGCAUUUUGCUGAGAUAAUUGACCAUAUUUUAACCCUAACCCUUAAACAAUGAGGAAAAUGCCUUUUACCUGUAUAUUUAAAAGAUGCUUUAUUAUGUGUUGAUAAUAGCAAGGUUUUUGCAAAGUUCCAAGAUAUUCCAGUUCCAGUUCCAUUCCAGUUUGAUCAAUGAUAAAGUAUGAUGCUUACCGUUUGUCUUUUAUUUAGGAAUGAAAUUGAACUAUUUUAAUCAUUAAAGGAGGAAAUAUGAUAAGAGCCAUUAUUGGAUCCCUGAAAUGGCGAAUUACGUAUGCAAAUCCUUUAAAAUCAUGUUAAUUUAUUGGUUAUUUUAGUGCAGAAAGGUCACUGAUGUCAUAAACAUAAAUUGAAAUGCGCAUGAAAUGUCAUUUUAUGCAUAGUUUUUAGACAAAACUUCAAGGCCAUACAUAAAAAGACAGUUUACAGACAUAACAUUUUUAUACGACCGCAAAAAUUGAAAAUUUUUUGGUCGUAUAUUGGUAUGACGUUGGCGUCGUCGUCGUCGUCGUCGUCGUCGUUGUCGUCGUCGUCGUCGUCGUCGUCCGGCGUCGUCUGGCGUCGUCCGAAGACACGUUGGUUUUCGCACUCUAACUUUAGUUUAAGUGAAUGGAUCUCCAUGAAAUUUUACCAUAAGGUUCAAUACCAUGAAAGGAAGGUUGGGAUUGAUUUUGGGGGUUAUGGUACCUACAGUUAAGGAAUUAGGGGCCAAAAAGGGGCCAACAAUAAGCAUUUUUGUAACUUCCAGACAAUAACUUGUGUGUAAGUGUAUGGAUCUCUCUGACAUUGUACCACAAGGUUCCAUAUCACAAAGGGAAGGCUGUAAUUGAUUUUGGGGGUAAUUGCCUCAAAAUGUUAGGAAUUAGGGGCCAAAAAAGGGGCAAAAAACAAGCAUUUUUCUAGUUUCAUGACAAUAACUUGUGUGUAAGUGUUUGGAUAUUUCUGAAAUUGUACUACAAGGUUCCAUAUCACAAAGGGAAAGCUGGAAUUGAGUUUGGGGGUAAUUGCCCGAAACGUUUAGGAAUUGGGGGCCAAAAAGGGGCCAAAAAUAAGCAUUUUUCUAGUUUCCAGACAAUAACUUGUGUUCAAGUGUAUGGAUCUCUCUGAAAUUGUACUGCAAGGUACCAUACCACAAAGGGAAGGCUGAGAUUGAGUUUGGGGUGAUGAAUCAUAAGGGGGUUCAAAAAAUUUUGGGGGGGGAUUUUUUUUUUCUUUUUUUUUUCUUUUUUUCCUUUUUUUUUUCUUUUAAAAUUUUCCAUUUUAAGUUGGUUAUUUCUGAUUUAUAUUUAAAAGCAAAUAAUAAUGAUAUGGUAGGAGAUACACACCAAACAGGAUGUGUAAAUUAUUAUAUAAUAAGUAUUGUGCAAUAGCAAGAAAUUUUCAAUUGCACAGUAUUGCACAAUAGCAAGAAAUCUUCAAUUGCACAGUAUUGCGCAAUAGCAAGAAAUCUUCAAUUGCACAGUAUUGCGCAAUAGCAAGAAAUAUCCAAUAGCACAAUAUUGCGCAAUAGCAAGAAAUUGUCAAUUGUACAGUAUUGCGCAAUAGCAAGAAAUAAUCAAUUGCACAGUAUUGUGCAAAAGAAGAUACUUCGUAUAAAUUGCUUAUUUCUUGAUCAAUUUCAAUGGGGUUUUAUUCUUGAAUUCUUGGGGUUCUUUAAUAUGCUGAAUCUAACCGUGUAUUAAGUUUUUGGAUUUUGGGCCCCGUUUUUAAAUUGGUCCACAUUGAGGUCCAAAGGGUCCAACAUUUUACUUUGUUUGAUUUCAUCAAAAAUUGAAUUAUUGGGGUUCUUUGAUAUGCCGAAUCUAACCGUGUAUUUAGAUUCUUAAUUUUUGGUUCUGUUUUCAAAUUGGUCUACAUAAAGGUCCAAAGGGUCCAAAAUUAAACUUUGUUUGAUUUCAACAAAAAUUGAAUAUAUGGGGUUCUUUGAUAUGCUGAAUCUAACCAUGUAUUUAGAUUUUUGAUUAUGGGCCCAGUUUUCGAGUUGGUCCAAAUCGGGGUCCAAAAUUAAACUUUGUUUGAUUUCAACAAAAAUUGAAUAUAUGGGGUUCUUUGAUAUGCUGAAUCUAACCAUGUAUUUAGAUUUUUGAUUAUGGGCCCAGUUUUUAAGUUGGUCCAAAUCGGGGUCCAAAAUUAAACUUUGUUUGAUUUCAACAAAAAUUGAAUAUAUGGGGUUCUUUGAUAAGCUGAAUCUAACCAUGUAUUUAGAUUUUUGAUUGUUGGGCCCCGUUAUCAACUUUGUCCACAUUGAGAUCAAAAGGGUCCAAAAUUAAACUUUGUUUGAUUUCAUCAAAAAUUGAAUAUAUGGGGUUCUUUGAUAUGCUGAAUCUAACCAUGUAUUCAGAUUUUUGAUUAUGGGCCCAGUUUUCAAGUUGGUCCAAAUCGGGGUCCAAAAUUAAACUUUGUUUGAUUUCAACAAAAAUUGAAUAUAUGGGGUUCUUUGAUAAGCUGAAUCUAACCAUGUAUUUAGAUUUUUGAUUAUGGGCCCAGUUUUCAAGUUGUUCCAAAUCGGGGUCCAAAAUUAAACUUUGUUUGAUUUCAACAAAAAUUUAAUAUAUGGGGUUCUGUAAUAUGCUGAAUCUAACCGUGUAUUAAGUUUUUGGAUUUUGGGCCCCGUUUUUAAAUUGGUCCACAUUGAAGUCCAAAGGGUCCAAAAUUUAACUUUGUUUGAUUUUCAUCAAAAAUUGAAUUAUUGGGGUUCUUUGAUAUGCCGAAUCUAACCGUGUAUUUAGAUUCUUAAUUUUUGGUUCCGUUUUCAAAUUGGUCUACAUAAAGGUCCAAAGGGUCCAAAAUUAAACUUAGUUUGAUUUUAACAAAAAUUGAAUUUUUAGGGUUCUUUGAUAUGCUGAAUCUAAACAUGUAUUUAGAUUUUUGAUUUUUGGGCCCUGUUAUCAUUUUUGUCCACAUUGAGAUCAAAAGGGUCCAAAAUUAAACUUUGUUUGAUUUCAUCAAAAAUUGAAUUCUUGGGGUUCUUUGAUAUGCUGAAUCUAACCAUGUAUUUAGAUUUUGGAUAUUGGACCAUAAUAGGUGAAUGUCCAAUUUAAAAUUUUUAAGUUCUUAGACCACAUUCAUUCUGUGUCAGAAACCUAUGCUGUGUCAAAUAUUUAAUCACAAUCCAAAUUCAGAGCUGUAUCAAGCUUGAAUGUUGUGUCCAUACUUGCCCCAACUGUUCAGGGUUCGACCUCUGCGGUCGUAUCAAGCUGCGCCCUGCGGAGCAUUUUAUUGUAAAAUACAUCUCAUAAAAAUAUCUUUAUGGGGAAACUAAUAACAUCUCAAAAUGCGGCUGCAUUGGCAAUUUUCCCUCACUUUUGAAGCUUUUGUAGAAAUUUUAUUGGUAAGACAAAAUUCAAAACUUCACAAACUAACACAAAGAGGUUAUUGUCUUUAUAUUAUGAAGGAUAUUUUCAGAAUUCAAGGGACCAAAAAGGAGGCUUAAUCAGUCAUUCUCCUUUAUGAAAUUUUAGCUUUGUCUGGUGGUAUAAGUGAUGAUAUAUUUUUGACCUUAUUAAAGAUGUGCUUGUAAAUAAUUUAUAAAUUAUAUAUUUUUAAUGUGUUUAGUUGUAUAUUUAGUGUUUAUAUGCUGGGUAAUGAUUUUUUUUUUAACAGGGUUUUUACGUAUUGAUCUUGUAUCUUUGCUUGUAAGAUUAAUAAUUGACACUAUUAUUAAAUAAUCCUUAUCUUAUCUUAUCUUCAAAUAAUAUCAGUCAAAAUUGUCUUUUAGGGGAAGGAAAAAGUAAUCAAAACAAGAACUUUUACCCCUACCCAAUAUUUUGGAAAGUUUGAAGCAGCAACUUUAUUUUUUGUUUGCAUUUCGGCUUUACUGCAUGUAAUACUGCACUUAUUUAAUGUAAUUAAAAUGACUUUCCAUCUUAAGUAUCUAAAAUUAAGAAUGCUUUUUGUUUUGACUGUAAUGGCUAUGAAAUUGUUAUAUUAAACGUUUUUAACUCAAUGUUGAAAAGAAAUAACUCAGAAAUGUUUAAUAUUUUUUUGUCAUGAAACAGCUUUGCUUCAAAUCAUUUCUAUUAUGUAAAUAACAUUUUCUUGUUUAGUUACAAUAAUUUGAAGAGUCAAAUUUAUCUUUUGAAUAGUAAGGCUUCAUAAAAAUGAGACGAGAAAUGCGGAAUGUGUCAAAGAGACAACAACCCGACCAAAGAGCAAAAAAACAACUGAAGGCCACCCGGAGGCGUGUUUUCAGAUGGCCCCUAAACAAAAAUAUGUAUUAGUCUAGUGAUAAUGUGCUAAAUUCCAAAACAUAUAAAUGUACUAAAAUUAAAAAUCAUUAAAGACUAACAAAGGCCAGAGGCUCCUGACUUGGACCAGGCGCAAAAAUGCAGCGGGGUUAAACAUGUUUUGUGAGAUCUCAACCUCCCCCUGUACCUCAAGCCAAUGUAGAAAAAACAAACACACACAUUCAUGUUUGAUUGACAUAUCAGUGUAUGGUCUAAAUAUCGUCAGAUAGUAGCAAAUUGUAGUCCAAAGUUGUUAUAGAUCUCUUUCAAUGAAAUACUGAGAUUAUUAUCAAAAGCUAAAUAAUUUUCAAUAUUUUAUAGGUAUAUUAUGAAGCAUGAUUUUUAUACGGGACGUAUUAUGGUAUACCGUUGUCCGUCUGUCUGUCCGUCGUCAACAUGUCGGACAUUAACUCAAAAACGCUUUAACCAAUUUGCAUAAAACUUUGGUGAAUUGUUUAAAUUUAUUGACGUGAGCUCCCUUUCAUUUUUUAUAAAUUUUAGAUUUUACGUUUCCGAGUUAUGGGGUUUUAUUCAUUUAAAAAAAGGGGGAUUUUCCAAUUUUCGGACAAUAACUCAAGAAUGCUUUCACCAACUUGCAAGAAAUUGUGGUGAAUUGUUUAUAUCUAUUGACAUGAGCUCCCUUUCGAUUUUUAUAAAUUUUAGAUUUUACGUUUCCGAGUUACAGGGUUUUAUUAAAAAAUAAAGGGGGAUUUUCCAGUUUUCAGACAAAAACUCAAAAAUGCUUUCAGCAGUUCUUAUGAAACUUUGGUGAAUUGUUUAUAUCUAUUGAUAUGAGCUCCCUUUAGAAUUUUAUAAAUUUUCCAUUUUACAUUUCUGAGUUAUGGGGUUUUAUUCAUUAAAAAGGGGGGGAUUUUCCAGUUUUCGAACAAUAACUCAAAAAUGCUGUCAGCAAUUCUCAUGAAACUUUGGUGAAUUGUUUAUAUCUAUUGAUGUAAGCUCCCUUUUGACUUUGAUAAAUUUCUAAUAUGACAUUGAGAAUUAAUUGAACUUUAUUUGUUUAUAGUCUGACAACAGAUUUACUAAGUAUUGCACAACAGCACAGUGUAUUGCACAAUAGCAAGAAAUCUUCAAUUGAAUAUAAAUUCAAUUCAUAUAACCAAUUUCAACUUCUUUGACUACAUUUAUUCAGAAACCUGUAAUAUGUCAAAUAUUUAAUUACAAUCCAAAUUCAGACCUGUAUCAAUCUUGAAUAUUGUGUCCAUUUUUGCCCCAACUGUUCAGGGUUGGACCUCUGCAGGCGUAUCCAACUGCGCUCAGCGAAGCAGUUUAUUAUUCUUUUGUCCCUUGAAUUUAUAUGACAGUGAUGUCUGUAAUGUUGUCAUGCAAAUCAAGAAUAUUCCAUUUAAACGUGUUAUGGAUGCAUUUUCAAAUUUGUUAUUGUCAAGGGUCAAAGCAAAUUGAGAUUAAUGAUGAAGAAGUGUUAUGAAAUAAAGGAUCACAAAUGUAAAACAAAUCUGGUGUUAUUUAUGGUUAGAUUUGUUAUUUUCUAGCCAAAAAUGUAAUAUCAAUAAGAUAAUAUGUAAAGCUACUAGUACCUGGUUUCUCAUUUUAAGAUUAUAUCGACAUGUUCAAAUGAAUUGUGUUGAUUCUCAUGUAAGCAGAAGACAUUCCGCUGAAUCUCUGAAAAUAAUGGUUGUUUCUUUUAUUUAAUAAAAAAUGUUAUGUCUUGA
Molecule: RNA transcript, 6928 nt
Organism: Mytilus californianus (California mussel)
Lineage: Eukaryota; Metazoa; Mollusca; Bivalvia; Mytilida; Mytilidae
Exons: 5
Source: RefSeq, a predicted model, not a curated record